RNAcentral lists this ribosomal RNA (417 nucleotides) under uncultured bacterium. RNAcentral describes it as "bacterial SSU rRNA". It matches the Rfam family "Bacterial small subunit ribosomal RNA", at positions 15 to 431 of the family's 1533-position model. The record is from RNAcentral.
GAUCCAUGGCUCAGAUUGAACGCUGGCGGAAUGCUUUACACAUGCAAGUCGGGCGGCAGCGCGGGGGCAACCCUGGCGGCGAGCGGCGAACGGGUGAGUAAUACAUCGGAACGUACCCAGUCGUGGGGGAUAGCCCGGCGAAAGCCGGAUUAAUACCGCAUACGCCCUGAGGGGGAAAGCGGGGGACCGGAAACGGCCUCGCGCGAUUGGAGCGGCCGAUGGCGGAUUAGCUAGUUGGUGGGGUAAAGGCCUACCAAGGCGACGAUCCGUAGCUGGUCUGAGAGGAUGAUCAGCCACACUGGAACUGAGACACGGUCCAGACUCCUACGGGAGGCAGCAGUGGGGAAUUUUGGACAAUGGGCGCAAGCCUGAUCCAGCCAUUCCGCGUGAGUGAAGAAGGCCUUCGGGUUGUAAAGC